AAAUUAACAAUUGAAACUUAAUUAAUACGGUUUGGACCGAAUCGACAACGCCAAUCUCUCAACCAAGAACUAUCUUAGUCAAUGAGAAUAUAUAUAUAGAGUCCGGCUACUAUACUCUUAUGAGUAUAGACCUCUUUGUACUUAUAAGUUUUCGGCCGUUAGAUCUAGCCCUUUGAUCAUUUCCACCCGUUAGAUCAUACUAUUCAACCAACCAUCCAUUUAGCUCUAAGAGACCACUAUCAUUUUAACUGGGAACCACUAUUAUCCUAAGUACUGUACAUUUCUUUAUCCCAUGUCCGAAAACUUAUGAGUACAGAAGGGCCUAUAUAUAUGUAUUGAACAAGAAGAACUUCAAAAGUCGACAUAAAU
RNAcentral lists this long non-coding RNA (369 nucleotides) under Ananas comosus (pineapple). RNAcentral describes it as "long non-coding RNA (ACOM_LNC015871)". The record is from RNAcentral. Lineage: Eukaryota; Viridiplantae; Streptophyta; Magnoliopsida; Poales; Bromeliaceae.